GAUGAUGCCCAGCUUGCUGGGUGGAUUAGUGGCGAACGGGUGAGUAACACGUGAGUAACCUGCCCCUGACUCUGGGAUAAGCGUUGGAAACGACGUCUAAUACUGGAUAUGACUGCCGGCCGCAUGGUCUGGUGGUGGAAAGAUUUUUUGGUUGGGGAUGGACUCGCGGCCUAUCAGCUUGUUGGUGAGGUAAUGGCUCACCAAGGCGACGACGGGUAGCCGGCCUGAGAGGGUGACCGGCCACACUGGGACUGAGACACGGCCCAGACUCCUACGGGAGGCAGCAGUGGGGAAUAUUGCACAAUGGGCGAAAGCCUGAUGCAGCAACGCCGCGUGAGGGAUGACGGCCUUCGGGUUGUAAACCUCUUUUAGUAGGGAAGAAGCGAAAGUGACGGUACCUGCAGAAAAAGCACCGGCUAACUACGUGCCAGCAGCCGCGGUAAUACGUAGGGUGCAAGCGUUGUCCGGAAUUAUUGGGCGUAAAGAGCUCGUAGGCGGUUUGUCGCGUCUGCUGUGAAAUCCCGAGGCUCAACCUCGGGCUUGCAGUGGGUACGGGCAGACUAGAGUGCGGUAGGGGAGAUUGGAAUUCCUGGUGUAGCGGUGGAAUGCGCAGAUAUCAGGAGGAACACCGAUGGCGAAGGCAGAUCUCUGGGCCGUAACUGACGCUGAGGAGCGAAAGCGUGGGGAGCGAACAGGAUUAGAUACCCUGGUAGUCCACGCCGUAAACGUUGGGCGCUAGAUGUAGGGACCUUUCCACGGUUUCUGUGUCGUAGCUAACGCAUUAAGCGCCCCGCCUGGGGAGUACGGCCGCAAGGCUAAAACUCAAAGGAAUUGACGGGGGCCCGCACAAGCGGCGGAGCAUGCGGAUUAAUUCGAUGCAACGCGAAGAACCUUACCAAGGCUUGACAUACACCGGAAACGGCCAGAGAUGGUCGCCCCCUUGUGGUCGGUGUACAGGUGGUGCAUGGUUGUCGUCAGCUCGUGUCGUGAGAUGUUGGGUUAAGUCCCGCAACGAGCGCAACCCUCGUUCUAUGUUGCCAGCGCGUUAUGGCGGGGACUCAUAGGAGACUGCCGGGGUCAACUCGGAGGAAGGUGGGGAUGACGUCAAAUCAUCAUGCCCCUUAUGUCUUGGGCUUCACGCAUGCUACAAUGGCCGGUACAAAGGGCUGCGAUACCGUAAGGUGGAGCGAAUCCCAAAAAGCCGGUCUCAGUUCGGAUUGAGGUCUGCAACUCGACCUCAUGAAGUCGGAGUCGCUAGUAAUCGCAGAUCAGCAACGCUGCGGUGAAUACGUUCCCGGGCCUUGUACACACCGCCCGUCAAGUCAUGAAAGUCGGUAACACCCGAAGCCGGUGGCCUAAC
Molecule: ribosomal RNA, 1360 nt
Filed under: Curtobacterium oceanosedimentum
Lineage: Bacteria; Bacillati; Actinomycetota; Actinomycetes; Micrococcales; Microbacteriaceae
Description: bacterial SSU rRNA
Rfam family: Bacterial small subunit ribosomal RNA
Source: RNAcentral